Molecule: long non-coding RNA, 3043 nt
Organism: Nerophis ophidion (straightnose pipefish)
Lineage: Eukaryota; Metazoa; Chordata; Actinopteri; Syngnathiformes; Syngnathidae
Exons: 2
Source: RefSeq, a predicted model, not a curated record
GCAUUUGGAGCGUCAGCCGCUCCCGCUGGCUCUCUGGCUGACUUGGGAUCAGCUCCUGGAUUUCCUCGCACUUCCUCCUCAGCUCCUCCACUCGCGCUCGCUCCUCCUCCAGACGCUCUCGCUCCUGCUGGGAAACAGAAAGCUGAGCUGAGCGACUCGCCGGCCUGACUGGAAGUGUUUUUUGUUUUCUUUCUCAGGCUGUGCUCCCGAGAUGCGUAUCUGGUCCACAGAUGAGUCCUGUGAGCAGUCAUCGUGCUGGGAAUCAUCACUCCCCAUCGAUACCAGUUUGGUCUGGGCUCGCUGUUGCAGUUCUCCCAGCUUCUCCUCGUGUUUCAGCAGCUGCGCCUUCUCCGUCUGCAGUUCUCCCUGGAGCAGGGCAAUCUCCAGCUGCAGCUGAGAGCACGCGACAGGCGGGAGUUUAGCAGCGAGGAAGUAAUCUUUUUGACCACAUGGUCGCUUAUCAACAAGCAUAUUACACAACACAACCAGUGUUGGAAGGGACAAACUGCUCAGUCAGAAUUUUUUUUUUACAGCGCUGAGAGUUGCCAUAGCGACGUUUUACAGCGAAUGCAGAGGUGGAUAAAAGCGCUAGUUCCUGACCAUGAUCCUACUCAUAAUAUUUGAAAUGUACCUCCUGCCAUCAACAUCGGGAAGUUACCUACAGCCACAGCAGUUGAUACCAUUUUUUGGUGGACCGAGAUAUAACUACAGACCAUAGCGGUUAUUUUCGUGUUGACAAUGCACCCAGCAAAUGUAGAAGAGAAUACUUUUCAUUAGAGAUGUCAAAUAAUAUCGGACUGCCAAUAUUAUCGGCCGAUAAAUGCUUUAAAAUGUAAUAUCGGAAAUGAUCGGUAUCAGUUUCGAAAAGUAAAAUGUAUGACUUUUUCAAACGCCGCUGCACGAAGUGGUACAUGGACGUAAGGAGAAGUACAGAGCAGUUGAGUCUCCCAGUCAUACUUGCCAACCCUCCCGAUUUUCCCGGGUGACUCCCAAAUUUCAGUGCCCCUCCCAAAAAUCUCCCGGGGCAACCAUUCUCCCGAAUUUCUCCCGAUUUCCACCCAGACAACAAUAUUGGGGUCGUGCCUUAAAGGCACUGCCUAUGCGCGCCGGCCCAAUCACAUAUUAUCUACAGGUUUUCACACACACAAGUGAAUGCGAGGCAUACUUUAUUAACAGCCAUACAGGUCACACUGAGGGUGGCCGUAUAAACAACUUUAACACUGUUACAAAUACGCGCCACACUUGAACCCACACCAAACAAGAAUGACAAACACAUUUCGGGAGAACAUCCGCACCGUAACACAACAUAAACACAACAGAACAAAUACCCAGAACCUAGGGGUGUAACGGUACGUGUAUUGAACCGUUUCGGUACGGGGGUUUCAGUUCGGCACGCGGCAGUGUGUGUGUGUGUGUGUGUGUGUGUGUGUGUGUGUGUGUGUGUGUGUGUGUGUGUGUGUGUGUGUGUGAGAAUAGUCUCUCCUAUUGCAAUUAUACUAUUUUUUCAGCUAUAGUUACAUGAAUCAGUAAUGUAGCAGCCUAGUUUUGAAUAGCAGGGUCCCUGCUAUCACAUGUUGAUAAAAAUACAACAUUUACAUAAUAAAAGUCAACUACAGGCUACCCAAACGCUGUAAUAAAUUAAGCAUGAUGAGUUGGCAUUAAACAGUUUCAAUGGAAACUGUUUAAUGUUGCACUUUUUAUUUGUAGAAGAAAGGUUUUGUAAUUUUAUUUAAUCAAAGCAACAACUUGAGGCAGUUUAAUGUGGAUUAACGUGGGCAGAAUUAUUAUAGUGUUCCCAAUGUUAAAAGGAUAAAGCCAUUGUUUACAAAUUUGGUAAAUAAAUAACCAAAAUAUUUAUAUUUUGUUGUUUUCUUACACUACCGAAAAUUAACCGAACCAUGACCUCUAAACCGAGGUACGUACCGUACCGAAAUUUUUGUGUACCGUUACACCCCUACUAAAACCCCUUGCAGCACUAACUCUUUCGGGACGCUACAAUAUAAACCCCUGCUACGCCCCCCCCCCCCACCCCCUCAACUCAAACCAACCCCACACACCUCAACCUCCUCAUGUCCCAGAUUCCAAGCUGCUGUUUUAAGGUAUGUUAAAAAAAAUAUGCACUUUGUGACUUCAAUAAUAAAUAUGGCAGUGCCAUGUUGGCAUUUUUUUCGAUAACUUGAGUUGAUUUAUUUUGGAAAACCUUGUUACAUGGUUUAAUGCAUCCAGCGGGGCAUCACAACAAAAUUAGGCAUAAUAAUGUGUUAAUUCCACGACUGUAUAUAUCAGUAUCGGUUGAUAUCGGAAUUGGUAAUUAAGAGUUGGACAAUAUCGGAAUAUCGGCAAAAAAGUCAUUAUCGGACAUCUCUACUUUUCAUAUAUAUCUGUAGUAUUCAUUAAUACCGCCGUACUAAUAAAGUACGGCGGUAUUAAUGAAUUAAAAACUGUACUACAGUGCUCUUUAAAAAUACCGGUAAUUUUUUUUUCCCCCGGACAUGACGGCGCGCCGUUGUCACAUUAUGUCAUUGCUAGUGAAACGAGCAGAGGAGAAUGUUACACGCUGACGCACGGAGUACUUACAAGCAGAAACAGUGUGGAGACACAAGAGAGAGAAUGGAUGCAUUUUGGCUUAAAAACUAACAAAAAAGUUGAAGCGGCGCUCUGCAAGAUGUGCUUAGCAUCUUGCAGAUCCAAACAAGCCAAAACAACAACAAGAAACUGUACUGUCCUGUGUGCGCUGCUCUGCCAACACGCGCACACACACAAAGUCCCUUUGGUGCCCUCACAAAAGAUCAGCAAUCACAAAUAAAUCCCUAACUUUAACAACCCUAUUGCUACAAUAAUACACAUUUAAAAAGUAAAAUUCCACGCACAGUACAUUAGGAAGGGAGCGGACAGAGGAGGAGCAGUAAGGGGUAGGAAGAAAGGGCCCUGUGUGUGUUGUCUUAAAUGACAGGUAGUCUUCUCCUUCGCUGUGAAAUAAGUCUGCUUUGGCAAAUUUUUCCAUAAAAGUAAGUUCUCAUCACAAUUAAUAACUGGUACGACG